CACGAUCACUGGCGAAGGCUCGCGCCAUAUCCUGAAUGGCAAGCUGAUCUUCGUUCAGUUCGAACUGAUUCUGG
Molecule: transfer RNA, 74 nt
Filed under: Brucella intermedia
Lineage: Bacteria; Pseudomonadati; Pseudomonadota; Alphaproteobacteria; Hyphomicrobiales; Brucellaceae
Also listed under: 1 other name
Description: Ochrobactrum intermedium tRNA-Arg(cct)
Source: RNAcentral